UUCAUCAUGUCUUUACAUUUUAUAUUUUUCAGUUAAAAUAUUCAAACUGAACAACGUCACUGACUGGUGUUUACAGUAACUUGGAAUCAUGUUUUAUGUUGUUAAGGAACACUUCCACCUAUAUCAGAGAAAAUAGACCAACUGACCUGCAGCUGAACCAUGAAAGAUGUCAUAUGAGCAUUUAAUGAAGGUCUUCUCCUGGGAACGAAGGUCAUAGAGGAAUCCUGGUGCAUUAUGGGAGAGGAUGGAUCCUUCAGUGAGGUCCUCUGGAAUACAGAGAAGCUGAGCAUUGAGAGCAGAAGCUGACCGAGUGUUUGAAGUCUUACAGUGAUCUGUGGUGCCAAUCAUUUCCUGCAUUUUACUCGACUGGACAAAAAGGCAAGCCUAGCUCAGGUUGUGUUGCACUGCAGCUCAGUUCCUGCAGUUCCUGGAUGUGUCCACAAGGUGGCGUUACAGCUUCAUAAACAUUUAAACAAGUCUUUUUUUGUUGUCUGUUAUAACUUAUAUUACUACAUAUAUACUGAAGGCUGUAUUAACUGAUAAACUGUUUUAAACGUCUGUUGUUAGAAAAGUGUACAGAUCUGAGCACUGAACAAUGCUCAUGGCAGCUCGCUGUGACCCACCCAUCUACCUUAAUUGCAAUUAAAAGUAAAUAUUAUCAUGGUGCCUUGCAGUCAAAAUAAGAUUUCACAACUUUUACAGAUUUCAGAUAUGCCUGUUUCAAUAAUUGAAGUAUGUACUGUAUG
Molecule: long non-coding RNA, 746 nt
Organism: Sinocyclocheilus rhinocerous
Lineage: Eukaryota; Metazoa; Chordata; Actinopteri; Cypriniformes; Cyprinidae
Exons: 3
Source: RefSeq, a predicted model, not a curated record